AUGAACGCUGGCGGCGUGCCUAAUACAUGCCAGUCGAGCGAACAGAUGAGGAGCUUGCUCCUCUGACGUUAGCGGCGGACGGGUGAGUAACACGUGGAUAACCUACCUAUAAGACUGGGAUAACUUCGGGAAACCGGAGCUAAUACCGGAUAAUAUAUUGAACCGCAUGGUUCAAUAGUGAAAGACGGUUUUGCUGUCACUUAUAGAUGGAUCCGCGCCGCAUUAGCUAGUUGGUAAGGUAACGGCUUACCAAGGCAACGAUGCGUAGCCGACCUGAGAGGGGGGACAGGCCACACGGAAACUGAGACAGGGCCCAGACCCUGAGGGGGGGCGCAGGGAGGAAUUCUCCGGAAAGGGGGAAAAGCCGGAGGGAGCAGCGCCGGGGGAGGGAGGAUGGUGUUCGAAUCGAAAAACUGUUUUAUGGGGAAAAAAAAAAUGUGAAAGUAACUAGGCACGUCUGGACGGUACCUAAUAAGAAAGCCACGGCAAACCAGGGG
This 497-nucleotide ribosomal RNA is filed under the name uncultured bacterium. Its description in RNAcentral is "partial 16S ribosomal RNA". It matches the Rfam family "Bacterial small subunit ribosomal RNA", at positions 30 to 507 of the family's 1533-position model. The record is from RNAcentral.